AGCAGUCACUAUGUUUUACUGACGCUGAUGGACGAAAGCGUGGGGAGCGAACAGGAUUAGAUACCCUGGUAGUCCACCCCGUAAACGAUGCUAACUCGUUUUUGGGUUUUCGGAUUCAGAGACUAAGCGAAAGUGAUAAGUUAGCCACCUGGGGAGUACGUUCGCAAGAAUGAAACUCAAAGGAAUUGACGGGGGCCCGCACAAGCGGUGGAUUAUGUGGUUUAAUUCGAUGAUACGCGAGGAACCUUACCAAGGCUUAAAUGGGAAUUGACAGGUUUAGAAAUAGACUUUUCUUCGGACAAUUUUCAAGGUGCUGCAUGGUUGUCGUCAGCUCGUGCCGUGAGGUGUUAGGUUAAGUCCUGCAACGAGCGCAACCCCUGUCACUAGUUGCCAUCAUUCAGUUGGGGACUCUAGUGAGACUGCCUACGCAAGUAGAGAGGAAGGUGGGGAUGAAGUCCAAAUCAUCACGGCCCUUACGCCUUGGGCCACACACGUAAUACAAUGGCCGGUACAGAGGGCAGCUACCUAGCGAUAGGAUGCGAAUCUCGAAAGCCGGUCUCAGUUCGGAUUGGAGUCUGCAACUCGACUCUAUGAAGCUGGAAUCGCUAGUAAUCGCGCAUCAGCCAUGGCGCGGUGAAUACGUUCCCGGG
RNAcentral lists this ribosomal RNA (650 nucleotides) under uncultured bacterium. RNAcentral describes it as "bacterial SSU rRNA". It matches the Rfam family "Bacterial small subunit ribosomal RNA", at positions 720 to 1378 of the family's 1533-position model. The record is from RNAcentral.